RNAcentral lists this transfer RNA (50 nucleotides) under Canis lupus familiaris (dog). RNAcentral describes it as "partial tRNA-Gln". The record is from RNAcentral. Lineage: Eukaryota; Metazoa; Chordata; Mammalia; Carnivora; Canidae.
UANAAUAUAGUGUAAGUUUGGUAGCACGAANAUCUUUGAAUUCUUAAGAU